GGCUUUUUGUAUGAUGACCUUCACAAUAAUGUGUUUUCUUUAAAAUUUCAUUUCUUUUCUUGUAAAAUUUUGUACAAUCUCCAUAGAAAAGGCUCUUUUCUAUAAUGAAAAUUUUUCUAAUCAGAUUUGUAAACAUAACAAGAAAAAAAUAUAUCAACCUUCUGUUUAUGUCAACCAAACAAAUAAGAAUCUGGGCUUCAAAUAAUUUUUUGAACAAUCUGCAUCCAGUAGUGCUGUGAAUUCUUGGUGAGGAAAGGAAUCUGCCCCUCUGGUGUAGGAGGAUGAUCUAUAAAUAGAAGUGAGGAAGCAUACGAGCUAUUUAUGAACAUAUGAAAAAUUAAAGAUCCACUGAGGGGAAAAAAAUAAAAUCAAAAGGCACAGUCAUUAUUCGGGAAAUCCUUUACGACUUAAAAUGGUCCUAAAUUCUUACCUUAAUUAAUCUUGAUCUCCAUGAGUUCCUGGAAGGGUUGGCGGCAAAUUGGGCAUUUAUUAGAAUGAAGUCUCAACACUUUUGCACACACACUGCACAAACACUGCAAAUGUGAUAUUUAGCAUUUAAUUAGGGAAGGAACAUAAACACACAAAAUUUAUUCAUGUAAAGAUGAGUGAAAUGAAAAUCCAAAUAAUGGUUAUUAAGCUCCUCUUAGAUAGGGAAGAACGGGAAAAGUAGUGGCAUGAGAAAAAUUUAUGGCUUAAGCUAAUAUCUACUUAGAAUGGAUCCACCGAAUUGACCAGUCUAGCAAGCAAUCUUUAGCUCUUUAUGGCUUCAAAUCCUAAAUGUAGCCACUUGAGAUUCAUCCGUGGAGCUAGGACAUCCUAAUGAGUCCACCACAUUCAUGGUCAUAUGUCGACAAGGCAAAAUAACUGUAUCCUUUGGCUUAGUCAAGCAAAUGACACAUUCUUUCCCUGUUUCCCUAUCAUAAAUCUCACGCAGCUCAUAUCGAGCCCCAUCAAUCCACAAUAUUUGCUUCACUACUUUCACUUGAAAAUGGCCCUCCUUAUUCUUGUCUAAGACAGCUUGAGUAAUAUGUGCACGAGGAGACAAGGUUGGCAUAGGCUGAUCAGGAGGCUCUGCAGCUGCAAAGAGAGAAGGCAGGCAUGCUUCUGCACAGAUAACAAGGGGGAACAUAUCUUCCUCUGGUGUGGGCUUUGAUAGCUGAUCCAACUCAAGGAAGCCCAAGUCAAUUCCAGUUCCUGAUGGCUGACAGAAUUUUUGGCCCAGUCCUCUCUUGAAGGGAGUUCUCCAUGGCACAUAGAUUUCAGGGUACAAAGGCACAAAUCUACAGUUCACUUCUUCCUUGGCAAAGUAAGAUAUGGUGAUGCUGCCAUCAACGAGAGCAUCAAAAGCGAAGGAAACCAAAUGAGAAUCCAAAUUCUUCUCAUCAACCACGAGCCUUACACUAUCCUUAUGCACAUUCACAUCAUUCUUGAUCUUCUUGGCAUGGUUAUGAUCAACAUAAGGCGGCAGCGGCGGCGGCGGCGCCUGUGAAGGAGGAGGCACUAGCACCGGUGCAACAGCAGAAGCAUAACGAAGUGGGACCCACCCACUAGUCCGAGUACUAAAAGAAUCAGGACGAGGAAUAAAGUAAUUUCGGGAAUUGUAGGAAGAAGAGGGAAAUGUGGUGGGACGAGGCGAUGAUGAAAGAAGGUAACGUACAUGGGCUUCAAGAUCAUAACUGGGCGGCGGAACCGGCGAUGGUGGUACGGUGUUGGUUAAAGAAUUAGAAGAGAAGGGUAUUGGGUUGUUCUGUGUAAUAUGAUCAGAAUUAGUAUUGGCGAUGAUAGCCCUUGUUGUCGUAGAAGAAUGGAGUUGGUGAUUUGGAGCUGUGGUUGAAAUGGAAGGGACAGAUGGGCGCUGGUUUUGAUCGGGGUGGUCAUGAAGGUAGUGGUGGGUGCCCAUUUCAGCGUUGAAAGGAAGGGAAGAAGUUGAAUUUGGACACGAAGGUCGUUGGUUCUGCG
Molecule: unclassified non-coding RNA, 1959 nt
Filed under: Hevea brasiliensis (rubber tree)
Lineage: Eukaryota; Viridiplantae; Streptophyta; Magnoliopsida; Malpighiales; Euphorbiaceae
Source: RNAcentral